This 441-nucleotide ribosomal RNA is filed under the name uncultured Synechococcus sp. RNAcentral describes it as "bacterial SSU rRNA". It matches the Rfam family "Bacterial small subunit ribosomal RNA", at positions 35 to 530 of the family's 1533-position model. The record is from RNAcentral. Lineage: Bacteria; Bacillati; Cyanobacteriota; Cyanophyceae; Synechococcales; Synechococcaceae.
GGCUGGCGGCGUCUUAGAUUACAGUCGAACGAACCUUCGGGUUAGUGGCGGACGGGUAGUAACGCGUAGAAUCUCUCAGAGGGGACAACAGCUGGAAACGGCUGCUAAUACCCCAUAUGCCGCGAGGUGAAAUGAAUUUCGCCUGAGGAUGAGCUCGCGUCUGAUUAGCUAGUUGGUGUAGGUAAUGGCUCACCAAUGCAUCGAUCAGUAGCUGGUCUGAGAGGAUGAUCAGCCACACUGGGACUGAGACACGGCCCAGACUCCUACGGGAGGCAGCAGUGGGGAAUUUUCCGCAAUGGGCGAAAGCCUGACGGAGACACGCCGCGUGAGGGAUGAAGGCCUCUGGGCUGUAAACCUCUUUUAUCAAGGAAGAAGAUCUUGACGGUACUUGAUGAAUAAGCCACGGCUAAUUCCGUGCCAAGCAGACGCGGUAAUACGGGA